UGGCGGGACGGGGUGGAGUAAUGUCUGGGAAACUAGCCUGAUGGAGGGGGAUAACUACUGGAAACGGUAGCUAAUACCGCAUAACGUCGCAAGACCAAAGAGGGGGACCUUCGGGCCUCUUGCCAUCGGAUGUGCCCAGAUGGGAUUAGCUAGUAGGUGGGGUAAAGGCUCACCUAGGCGACGAUCCCUAGCUGGUCUGAGAGGAUGACCAGCCACACUGGAACUGGGACACGGUCCAG
RNAcentral lists this ribosomal RNA (239 nucleotides) under uncultured bacterium. RNAcentral's name for it is "partial 16S ribosomal RNA". It matches the Rfam family "Bacterial small subunit ribosomal RNA", at positions 104 to 334 of the family's 1533-position model. The record is from RNAcentral.